This 105-nucleotide ribosomal RNA is filed under the name uncultured crenarchaeote. RNAcentral's name for it is "partial 16S ribosomal RNA". It matches the Rfam family "Archaeal small subunit ribosomal RNA", at positions 366 to 472 of the family's 1478-position model. Lineage: Archaea; Thermoproteati; Thermoproteota. The record is from RNAcentral.
CUUGACAGGGUUACUCUGAGUGACUUUCGUUAAGAAAGUCUUUUGACACCUCUAAAAAUGGUGUAGAAUAAGGGGUGGGCAAGUCUGGUGUCAGCCGCCGCGGUA